Molecule: long non-coding RNA, 171 nt
Organism: Sinocyclocheilus grahami
Lineage: Eukaryota; Metazoa; Chordata; Actinopteri; Cypriniformes; Cyprinidae
Exons: 3
Source: RefSeq, a predicted model, not a curated record
GAAAAGUGUAACGGCUAAUGCUAACGCUUCCGGUUUGCCAGUACAUGGGGAAAGGAGACCAGAUGCCGUUUUUUUUAAUGGAUGUCAAUGGAGGAGAGGCUUCACUACACCGAAUAAACAGCUUAUUUAAUGAAUCAACAGCCUAUCAGCUAAUCUCCAACAUGUUUUACA